Molecule: ribosomal RNA, 790 nt
Filed under: Chromohalobacter sp.
Lineage: Bacteria; Pseudomonadati; Pseudomonadota; Gammaproteobacteria; Oceanospirillales; Halomonadaceae
Description: bacterial SSU rRNA
Rfam family: Bacterial small subunit ribosomal RNA
Source: RNAcentral
GGGCUCAACCUGGGAACGGCAUCCGGAACGGCAGGCUAGAGUGCAGGAGAGGAAGGUAGAAUUCCCGGUGUAGCGGUGAAAUGCGUAGAGAUCGGGGAGGAAUACCAGUGGCGAAGGCGGCCUUCUGGACUGACACUGACGCUGAGGUGAAAGCGUGGGUAGCAAACAGGAUCAUAUACCCUGGUAGUCCACCCCGAAAUCGAUGUCGAUUACCCGUUGGGCCCCUAGAGGACUUAGUGGCGCAGUACACGAGAUAAGUCGCCCCCGUGGGGAGUACGCCCGCAAGGUUAAAACUCAAAUGAAUUGACGGGGGCCCGCCCAAGCGGUGGAGCAUGUGGUUUAAUUUGAUGCAACGCGAAGAACCUUACCUACCCUUGACAUCCUGCGAACCCGGAAGAGAUUCCGGGGUGCCUUCGGGAGCGCAGAGACAGGUGCUGCAUGGCUGUCGUCAGCUCGUGUUGUGAAAUGUUGGGUUAAGUCCCGUAACGAGCGCAACCCUUGUCCCUAUUUGCCAGCGAUUCGGUCGGGAACUCUAGGGAGACUGCCGGUGACAAACCGGAGGAAGGUGGGGACGACGUCAAGUCAUCAUGGCCCUUACGGGUAGGGCUACACACGUGCUACAAUGGCCGGUACAAAGGGUUGCGAAGCCGCGAGGUGAAGCCAAUCCCAGAAAGCCGGCCUCAGUCCGGAUUGGAGUCUGCAACUCGACUCCAUGAAGUCGGAAUCGCUAGUAAUCGUGCAUCAGAAUGGCACGGUGAAUACGUUCCCGGGCCUUGUACUACACCGCCCG